CGGGGGAAAAGAAACCAACUGGGACACCUUAGUAACGGCGAGUGAAGCGGUAAAAGCUCAAAUCUGAAAUCUGGUACUUUCAGUGCCCGAGUUGUAAUUUGUAGAAUUUGUCUUUGAUUAGGUCCUUGUCUAUGUUCCUUGGAACAGGACGUCAUAGAGGGUGAGAAUCCCGUUUGGCGAGGAUACCUUUUCUCUGUAAGACUUUUUCGAAGAGUCGAGUUGUUUGGGAAUGCAGCUCAAAGUGGGUGGUAAAUUCCAUCUAAAGCUAAAUAUUGGCGAGAGACCGAUAGCGAACAAGUACAGUGAUGGAAAGAUGAAAAGAACUUUGAAAAGAGAGUGAAAAAGUACGUGAAAUUGUUGAAAGGGAAGGGCAUUUGAUCAGACAUGGUGUUUUUUGCAUGCACUCGCCUCUCGUGGGCUUGGGCCUCUCAAAAAUUUCCCUGGGCCAACGUCAAUUCUGGCGCAGGAUACAUCAUUAAGAAUGUAGCUACUUCGGUAGUGUUAUGGCUUUUUGGAAUACUGUUAGGCGGGAUUGAGGACUGCGCUUCGGCUAGGAUGGUGGCUAAUGGUAAAUGCUGCCCGCUGA
Molecule: ribosomal RNA, 586 nt
Filed under: Hanseniaspora uvarum
Lineage: Eukaryota; Fungi; Ascomycota; Saccharomycetes; Saccharomycodales; Saccharomycodaceae
Description: eukaryotic LSU rRNA
Rfam family: Eukaryotic large subunit ribosomal RNA
Source: RNAcentral